This 551-nucleotide long non-coding RNA is filed under the name Pan paniscus (pygmy chimpanzee). RNAcentral describes it as "lncRNA (ENSPPAG00000045558.1)". Lineage: Eukaryota; Metazoa; Chordata; Mammalia; Primates; Hominidae. The record is from RNAcentral.
ACUUGCCACAUAAGAGAUACUUUUAGUUUAGUAAAUCAAAUUGUUCUACUCCUUUUAACAAUACUAGGCUUGCCAUUUCCAUUAUUUUACAGGAUUUCUCUUAUUCACCAUAUCUUCAGUGCCCAGCAUUAUUCCUGGAAUAUUCAAUAAGAUCUGUUUGCAGUGAACGAUUGUUUGGAUGAAUCAUUGUAUGUACUCUGCUACAUUUUACAUAUCUGCUUUUUGAGGAAUAAAUACCAGAAAGAAGUGGCCUACAUAAAUCCAAAUGGCUUUAGACAUUUCAAGUACUGGAAAACAAGAUUAUAACUAUUUAUGAAGAAAUGGAACAUCCUUGCUGAAAUCAUCCUGCAACAAGUUGUGCUUUCAUUUAUAAUUGAAAACACCAAACUCUAAUGCUUGAAAAUAAAAUCUAAUAAUCUGUAGUGGGUUGAAUCCAUGGAUGAAGAACCCAUCAAUAUGGAGGACUGACUGUAGCUUUCUUGCUGAUCAAGUUAGAGAAAAUAGGUAUCUUAAAGAUCAUCCUCUUCCAUCUUUGUUCAUCGAAUAGUCAU